AGAACGAACGCUGGCGGCAUGCCUAACACAUGCAAGUCGAACGAGACCUUCGGGUCUAGUGGCGCACGGGUGCGUAACGCGUGGGAACCUGCCUUUAGGUUCGGAAUAACUCAGAGAAAUUUGAGCUAAUACCGGAUAAUGUCUUCGGACCAAAGAUUUAUCGCCUUUAGAUGGGCCCGCGUAGGAUUAGCUAGUUGGUGGGGUAAUGGCCUACCAAGGCGACGAUCCUUAGCUGGUCUGAGAGGAUGACCAGCCUCACUGGGACUGAGACACGGCCCAGACUCCUACGGGAGGCAGCAGUGGGGAAUAUUGGACAAUGGGCGCAAGCCUGAUCCAGCCAUGCCGCGUGAGUGAUGAAGGCCUUAGGGUUGUAAAGCUCUUUUAGCAGGGAAGAUAAUGACGGUACCUGCAGAAAAGCCCCGGCUAACUUCGUGCCAGCAGCCGC
Molecule: ribosomal RNA, 445 nt
Filed under: uncultured bacterium
Lineage: Bacteria
Description: SSU rRNA
Rfam family: Bacterial small subunit ribosomal RNA
Source: RNAcentral